AGGGUUUGAUUAUGGCUCAGGACGAACGCUGGCGGUGCGCCUUAUGCAUGCAAGUCGAGCGAAGCUUUUCAGUAGUUUACUACAGAAAAUGACUGAGCGGCGAACGGGUGAGUAACGCGUGAGUAAUCUACCUUAGUUACUGGAAUAGCCCGAGGAAACUCGGAUUAAUACCGGAUAAUCUUAUUACAUCACAUGAUAUUUUAAGUAAAGGUCAGCCGAACUAAGAUGAGCUCGCGUUCUAUCAGCUUGUUGGUGGGGUAAAAGCCUACCAAGGCUACGACGGAUAGCUGGUCUGAGAGGACGAUCAGCCACACUGGGACUGAGACACGGCCCAGACUCCUACGGGAGGCUGCAGCAGGGAAUAUUGUGCAAUGAGCGAAAGCUUGACACAGCGACACCGCGUGUGGGAUGACGGUUCUAGGAUUGUAAACCACUUUCAGGAGGGAAGAAAAUGACGGUACCUCCACAAGAAGCCCCGGCCAACUACGUGCCAGCAGCCGCGGUAAUA
This 508-nucleotide ribosomal RNA is filed under the name uncultured bacterium. RNAcentral describes it as "bacterial SSU rRNA". It matches the Rfam family "Bacterial small subunit ribosomal RNA", at positions 8 to 525 of the family's 1533-position model. The record is from RNAcentral.